CGCUGGCGGCACGCUUAACACAUGCAAGUCAAGGGGAAAGGGCUUCGGCCUGAGUACACUGGCGCACGGGUGAGUAACGCGUGAGGAAUCUGCCCAUAAGACUGGGAUAACACACCGAAAGGUGUGCUAAUACUGGAUGUGUUCCAUAGGCGCAUGCUUAUGGAGUAAAGGCGGGGUAACCUGUCGCUUAUGGAUGACCUCGCGUCCGAUUAGCUAGUUGGUGGGGUAACGGCCUACCAAGGCUACGAUCGGUAGCCGGCCUGAGAGGGUGGCCGGCCACACUGGAACUGAGACACGGUCCAGA
RNAcentral lists this ribosomal RNA (304 nucleotides) under uncultured bacterium. RNAcentral describes it as "bacterial SSU rRNA". It matches the Rfam family "Bacterial small subunit ribosomal RNA", at positions 34 to 335 of the family's 1533-position model. The record is from RNAcentral.